RNAcentral lists this unclassified non-coding RNA (252 nucleotides) under uncultured Marinifilaceae bacterium. Its description in RNAcentral is "contains 16S-23S intergenic spacer region". It matches the Rfam family "Bacterial small subunit ribosomal RNA", at positions 524 to 776 of the family's 1533-position model. Lineage: Bacteria; Pseudomonadati; Bacteroidota; Bacteroidia; Marinilabiliales; Marinifilaceae. The record is from RNAcentral.
UACAGAGGGUGCGAGCGUUAUCCGGAUUUAUUGGGUUUAAAGGGUGCGUAGGCGGCAUUAUAAGUUAGUGGUAAAAUAUUGGGGCUUCACCUCACUACGCCAUUAAUACUGUAGAGCUAGAGAACAGACGAGGUAGGCGGAAUAAGUUAAGUAGCGGUGAAAUGCAUAGAUAUAACUUAGAACACCGAUAGCGAAGGCAGCUUACCAGACUGAGUCUGACGCUGAUGCACGAGAGCAUGGGUAGCGAACAGG